Molecule: transfer RNA, 75 nt
Filed under: Marisediminitalea aggregata
Lineage: Bacteria; Pseudomonadati; Pseudomonadota; Gammaproteobacteria; Alteromonadales; Alteromonadaceae
Also listed under: 1 other name
Rfam family: tRNA
About the family: Transfer RNA (tRNA) molecules are approximately 80 nucleotides in length. Their secondary structure includes four short double-helical elements and three loops (D, anti-codon, and T loops).
Source: RNAcentral
GCUCCCUUCAUCUAGCGGUCAGGAUCCCGCCCUUUCACGGCGGAAACAGGGGUUCGAAUCCCCUAGGGAGUACCA